This 800-nucleotide ribosomal RNA is filed under the name uncultured bacterium. Its description in RNAcentral is "bacterial SSU rRNA". It matches the Rfam family "Bacterial small subunit ribosomal RNA", at positions 1 to 796 of the family's 1533-position model. The record is from RNAcentral.
CCCCUUAGAGUUUGAUCCUGGCUCAGAUUGAACGCUGGCGGCGUGCCUAACACAUGCAAGUCGAGCGGUAACAGGUGUAGCAAUACAUGCUGACGAGCGGCGGACGGGUGAGUAACGCUUGGGAAUCUGCCUGUUAGUGGGGGACAACCCGGGGAAACUCGGGCUAAUACCGCAUACGCACUACGGUGGAAAGCCGGGGACCGCAAGGCCUGGCGCUAACAGAUGAGCCCAAGUCGGAUUAGCUAGUUGGUAGGGUAAUGGCCUACCAAGGCUACGAUCCGUAACUGGUCUGAGAGGACGACCAGUCACACCGGAACUGAGACACGGUCCGGACUCCUACGGGAGGCAGCAGUGGGGAAUAUUGGACAAUGGGGGAAACCCUGAUCCAGCGACGCCGCGUGGGUGAAGAAGGCCUGCGGGUUGUAAAGCCCUUUCAGUGGGGAAGAAAAGCCUCGAGUUAACACCUCGGGGUCUUGACGUAACCCAUAGAAGAAGCACCGGCUAACUCUGUGCCAGCAGCCGCGGUAAUACAGAGGGUGCGAGCGUUAAUCGGAAUUACUGGGCGUAAAGCGCGCGUAGGCGGCUUUGCAAGUCGGGUGUGAAAUCCCCAGGCUUAACCUGGGAACUGCAUUCGAGACUGCAUUGCUAGAGUAUGGGAGAGGGAAGUGGAAUUUCAGUGUAGCGGUGAAAUGCGUAGAUAUCUGAAGGAACAUCAGUGGCGAAAGCGACUUCCUGGACCAAUACUGACGCUCAUGUGCGAAAGCGUGGGGAGCAAACAGGAUUAGAUACCCUGGUAGUCC